This 280-nucleotide unclassified non-coding RNA is filed under the name Strongyloides stercoralis. RNAcentral describes it as "partial 18S small subunit ribosomal RNA". It matches the Rfam family "Eukaryotic small subunit ribosomal RNA", at positions 1347 to 1644 of the family's 1831-position model. Lineage: Eukaryota; Metazoa; Nematoda; Chromadorea; Rhabditida; Strongyloididae. The record is from RNAcentral.
UGUUAUAUUAAAUAUUAUUAUUUUGUUUAUUUUAAUAUAAAUAAUUAAUAUUUUAAUAACAGAUUAAUAGUGUUUAACUAUUUGAGAGAGAGCGAUAACAGGUCUGUGAUGCCCUUAGAUGUCCGGGGCUGCACGCGCGCUACAAUGUAGUGAUCAUUAUGUUCCUGUUUAGAGAUAAAUGGGUAAACAUUGAAAACAUUACGUAACUGGGAGUGAAAAUUGCAAUUAUUUUUCAUGAACGAGGAAUUCCAAGUAAACGUAAGUCAUUAGCUUACAUUGA